UGACCAGGUCCGUGACGGGUAGGCUGGCUAAUAAGCGAAAGCAGAACGAUAAAGAAACAUAACGAUAACGAAAGAAGGUAGAUGGAGAAACCGAUGAAGAAUGGGAACAAGAAGUCGAUGAAGGGCAAGUGAUGAAGAUGGUUAUCAAGAAGCGAAGCCCGCCGAAGGAUUACAACGCAUCAUCAGGUUUUCGUGGUGACGAUGGUGUGUUUUUUGGUUGGCUGCUAUGUGUUGUGAAGAUGGAUGUUGUUGUGAAGACCAUUUUUUAGAAGCAUUACAACUAUUGAUAUAAAAUUCAUUUUUAUUUUCAUUUUCAUUGUUAGUAUGCCCAUUUUUGGAUGAA
Long non-coding RNA from Helianthus annuus (common sunflower), 343 nucleotides. RefSeq lists it as uncharacterized. NCBI's taxonomy places the organism in Eukaryota, Viridiplantae, Streptophyta, Magnoliopsida, Asterales, Asteraceae. The transcript has 2 exons. The record is from RefSeq and is a predicted model, not a curated record.